CGGGAAAAGCUCAAAUUUAAAAUCUGGCAGUCUUUGGCUGUCCGAGUUGUAAUUUAGAGAAGUGUUACCCGUGCUGGACCGUGUACAAGUCCCUUGGAACAGGGCGUCGUAGAGGGUGAGAAUCCCGUCUUUGACACGGACUGCCAGUGCUCUGUGAUGCGCUCUCGAA
Molecule: ribosomal RNA, 169 nt
Filed under: Jaapiaceae sp.
Lineage: Eukaryota; Fungi; Basidiomycota; Agaricomycetes; Jaapiales; Jaapiaceae
Description: partial large subunit ribosomal RNA
Rfam family: Eukaryotic large subunit ribosomal RNA
Source: RNAcentral